UGGGGAAUUUUGGACAAUGGGCGCAAGCCUGAUCCAGCCAUACCGCGUGAGUGAAGAAGGCCUUCGGGUUGUAAAGCUCUUUCAGACGGAAAGAAACGGUUACGGCUAAUACCCGUGACUAAUGACGGUACCGUAAGAAGAAGCACCGGCUAACUACGUGCCAGCAGCCGCGGUAAUACGUAGGGUGCGAGCGUUAAUCGGAAUUACUGGGCGUAAAGCGUGCGCAGGCGGUUUGGUAAGACAGAUGUGAAAUCCCCGGGCUUAACCUGGGAACUGCAUUUGUGACUGCCAGACUAGAGUGUAGCAGAGGGGGGUAGAAUUCCACGUGUAGCAGUGAAAUGCGUAGAUAUGUGGAGGAAUACCGAUGGCGAAGGCAGCCCCCUGGGCUAACACUGACGCUCAUGCACGAAAGCGUGGGGAGCAAACAGGAUUAGAUACCCAUGUAGUCCCUG
Molecule: ribosomal RNA, 452 nt
Filed under: uncultured bacterium
Lineage: Bacteria
Description: bacterial SSU rRNA
Rfam family: Bacterial small subunit ribosomal RNA
Source: RNAcentral